AGGUGAGCCCAAUGUAAUCAAAAGGGUCCUGAAAAGUCAAAGAGGAAGGCAGAAGAGUCAGAGGGAGAUAUGACUAUAGAAAAUAUAGAAAAACGGUCAGAGAGAAACACCAUUACUGGCUUUGAUGACGGAGGGAAGGGACAGUAAGCCAAGGAAUAUGGCAAUGUUUGGCAGAUGGAAAAGGCAAAGACUCAGAUUCUCCCCUAGCAUCUCCACAAAGGAAUGCAGCUCUGUCCAACCCUUCGUUGUAGCCAGUGAGAGUGAGGAAGAGACGAUCUCUGUGAGUUGAAAGACACCCUAAAGACGGGUGAUUAGGCUGCCUGGAAGUGCCACCUGUUUCAGAUCCCAAACCUGAAAAUCUGGCCCAGAGAAAGCGGCGUCCGGCGGUUCUUAAAAGUCCGGUAUAAUUGUCCAGUGUUUGUGAUAAGGUUAGAGGCAAUUUUUUGCCUGUCUAUGCAAACAGUCCAAGUUUAAAGGAAAAGACGAAUACGGCACACAGAGUCAACGGCAUGUGGGAGGCAGGUGGCAGAGUGAGGUCUGACUAGUUCUCCUUCCCUGCCCUUCAUGGGGAACAGGCAGGCUUGCUCUCACCUCUCUAUCAGCUCUCUUAUUUGCUCUGGUGAGAACAGAGACACAUUCUACCUCAUACAAAGUGUUCACCCAAAGGACAGUGAUGCUGCUAAUGAUGAAACUGAUGGAUGCUGUUGAAGCUCCUAAGUAGCCUGUCCUGGUAGCUCUGCUUAUUAUCUUGAAAUGUAAAAAUUAAGUGUAUUUGAAGCAAUAUCUUCUUUUUUUCUUCUUAAAGUGUAUGUGCAACUGUAUAUUGAACAUUGUGGAGUUAAGAAGAAUUAGAAAUAUUUUUGCAAG
Molecule: long non-coding RNA, 867 nt
Filed under: Equus caballus (horse)
Lineage: Eukaryota; Metazoa; Chordata; Mammalia; Perissodactyla; Equidae
Description: lncRNA (ENSECAG00000045475.1)
Source: RNAcentral